GACGGUGAUUUGAGGGGAGCGACUGAGUGCAGCUGUGUCUGCUGAAAGGAGAAGGGGAGAGCCGGAGCAAUGGAGUGGAAAGAAUUGAAAAGGCUCGGCGGGGAGACAGCACAUACCUUUAAACCCCCCCUCCCCUCCUCCUCUUGGUGACCGCUCUGAGCCCUUCUCCUUGUGUCAACCAAUCAGCUCUCACCAUCCACUCGUACUGUUCAGGCGUCAACAGAGCCGAGACAAAGUGUCGGUGUAUUUGGAGUAAACAGUUCGGAAGAAUCGGUCGUCUGCCGGCGACAUUGUGGAAACGACCUGACAGCUGCAGCUCACACAACCAAAUAAGAUUACAGAACUACACAGCUUUGCAGGAGGCCCAUUCUCAUGCUGAGACACAAGCGGAGUGCACCAAAGCGGGUCGGAAGACGAGCAAGAUAAAAAAACCACUAAAGCCAACAUGCACAGUCCCAAACUACGAUUUGAACCCGGAAUAAUCUCAACUAUGAGGCAAACAUGAUGCCCUGGCUGUCCCAUUGUGAGGAUUGCCACAAACAAAGACGCCCAAGCUGAUGGAGCACUCACUUAACCCUUGCUGCAUUCUACUGACAUCUAGCGGGAGGAAAAGGAACUGCACUAACUGUGUGUGACCCAGGUGCGUGGUGAGUUCAGGCGGCCCGCUUGUUUGGUUCUGGGGCAGAAGACUACAGGUGUGAGAAGAUGUCAGCAUCAUCCUGACCCUCACCUCAAGCGGCGUACCAGCAGAUUGAACUCAAGCAGGCUGCUGGCGUUGUGGAUGCGCAGGGGCCCUUGCGAAAAACUAAUCUCCCGGUCCUCAAAGGAGAGAUCCGUGAGCGGCACCUCCAGCGCUCUGUCAGGGGGAAUGCGGCUGGAAGGUGAGGUGACGCAUUCCAAGAGGAUGAAGGAGUUGCGCAAGAGGAGAAGAUGCCGAGACGAUUCCUGAGGGAAGUGUGAAAGAUCCUCCUAACUACUUAUGUGCAGAAAUAUUGGUCAUCAGGAUAAAGAAUGCCUGGAAUAAAUCAUCCGACGUGCACGGCCGAUUUAAAUGUCAUCGGAUCGGCGGUAAAGUCACAAAGGCCUCCUCCGAGUCGCCGGGUUGCAAGUGGACCAAUAACCGGCCCCCUGCAGAGUGCCCUCCAUCUCACCUUGAUCAAUCCACGAAAUGGCCGUGAUUGCGGGAGAUACAACAGCACAUUAAGUUGAUUUAUCGAGGCAAUCUCUGGUUUCUCAUCCCACACGUUUUCCUGACAUCAAAUCGUCUUUUCAUUUCCCUGAGGCUUCUAUCAUUUUGCAAAAGUGCUUCUCUACAUAAGAUUUGUGCAGGAUGCUGCAAGGUGUGGGUGUCUAUCUUCUCUGAGGUGAGUCCUUGUUGUCAUAACAGCCGUUGCCAUGGUAAC
Syngnathus acus (greater pipefish) is the source of this 1403-nucleotide long non-coding RNA. RefSeq lists it as uncharacterized. NCBI's taxonomy places the organism in Eukaryota, Metazoa, Chordata, Actinopteri, Syngnathiformes, Syngnathidae. The record is from RefSeq and is a predicted model, not a curated record. The transcript is spliced from 14 exons.